This 429-nucleotide ribosomal RNA is filed under the name Pseudomonadota bacterium. RNAcentral's name for it is "Proteobacteria bacterium partial 16S ribosomal RNA". It matches the Rfam family "Bacterial small subunit ribosomal RNA", at positions 355 to 776 of the family's 1533-position model. Lineage: Bacteria; Pseudomonadati; Pseudomonadota. The record is from RNAcentral.
UGGGGAAUAUUGGACAAUGGGCGAAAGCCUGAUCCAGCCAUGCCGCGUGUGUGAAGAAGGUCUUCGGAUUGUAAAGCACUUUAAGUUGGGAGGAAGGGCAGUAAGCGAAUACCUUGCUGUUUUGACGUUACCGACAGAAUAAGCACCGGCUAACUCUGUGCCAGCAGCCGCGGCAAUACAGAGGGUGCAAGCGUUAAUCGGAAUUACUGGGCGUAAAGCGCGCGUAGGUGGUUCGUUAAGUUGAAUGUGAAAGCCCCGGGCUCAACCUGGGAACUGCAGCGAAAACUAGCGAGCAGGAGUAGGGCAGAGGGUCAUGGAAUUUCCUGUGUAGCGGUGAAAUGCGUAGAUAUAGGAAGGGACACCAGUGGCGAAGGCGACCACCUGGGCUCAUACUGACACUGAGGUGCGAAAGCGUGGGGAGCAAACAGG